Molecule: ribosomal RNA, 440 nt
Filed under: uncultured bacterium
Lineage: Bacteria
Description: partial 16S ribosomal RNA
Rfam family: Bacterial small subunit ribosomal RNA
Source: RNAcentral
CCUACGGGAGGCUGCAGUGGGGAAUAUUGGACAAUGGUGGGAACCCUGAUGCAGCGAAGCCGCGUGGGUGAAGGAGUUACUGAGUACGUUACGCCCUAUCAGCAGGAAAGCAAAUGACGGUACCUGUCUAAGAAGCCCCGGCUAACUACGUGCCAGCAGCCGCGGUAAUACGUAGGGGGCAAGCGUUAUCCGGAUUUACUGGGUGUAAAGGGAGAGUAAACGGCAGUGCAAGUCCGGAGUGAAAGCCCGGGGCUCAACCCUGGGACUGCUCUGGAAACUGUAAAGCUGGAGUGCGGGAGGGGCAGGCGGAAUGCCUGGUGUAGCGGUGAAAUGCGUAGAUAUCAGGAGGAACACCGGCGGCGAAGGCGGCCUGCUGGACCGUAACUGACGUUGAGGCUCGAAAGCGUGGGGAGCGAACAGGAUUAGAUACCCCUGUAGUC